CUCGGCAACUGUCACAUGGUCGCCCACUGUGCCCGGUCAGUACCUGGAUGGGAGACCACAUGGGAAAGCUAGGUUGCUGCCGGAA
This 85-nucleotide ribosomal RNA is filed under the name Danio rerio (zebrafish). The record is from RNAcentral. Lineage: Eukaryota; Metazoa; Chordata; Actinopteri; Cypriniformes; Danionidae.